CGCCAUGUUUUCUUUCUCUUGCCGCACCCAGUCUUGUGUGGAUGCUACGCUCCAGCUAGAGCUGGAUUUACGGUACUUAGACAACAGACCAUAAAAGAGGUAUUUUGCCACUAAAGUUAACUGCAGAAGUUACGGAAGUAGACAAGAACCAUCAGACAUCUUUGAACCACGUAGAAAUCGAUAUUCCGGCUGUUUUUUUUUUUGAGGAUUCUCAUCAGCGGGACUCCGAUCUUCAUCCAUCUGCUGUGUGUUGAUGUCCAUCCACGUUCACAUCUCCAUCACGCUGGGAUCGGCCAUCACCUCGGACCGUCUCAUCGGACAUUCAUCAUAAGGGGGCGCUAACUGAUGAUGUGAUGCAUGGUGUAAUGGAGCAUCAAUAAAACUGAAAACUGCAGCUGGAGGAGCAAUAAAGGGUGGGAGGAAGCAAUCUCGUUCUGACUGGUACAUGAUGGAUGUUCCCCCGACAAAUCCAAGGAUUCAGCCCCGCCUGGUGUCAUUAUUGUACAGAAAGUUCCUUUGGAUUCCCUUUGAGCAAGAACUUGGCAACAGCAGAAGAAAACGACUUCUGGCAGAACCAAGCUCUGGGAGGGCAGCCAUCUGCAUAGACCGGCUUGAGUGAAGGCAAAGGGAGAACACAACAGCAGUACCUUGUGAUGCCAGUGAGGCCACAGACUGCUUGACCAGCAGCCUGAACCUGCCGCACCCCACAGCCCGUCUCAGUCAUUUCCUUUCUGGGCAGCUCUGUGUGCCUGCUCAGCCCAAGGCCAGGCUGUUCCUGUUUGGAUUCCUGCAGGAAUGGACUUUGCAAGUUUUCCCCUGGGUUCUCAUUUGUCUGAUGGGACGUUUUCCACUGAGAUGGCAAACUGACUGGUGGUCACUUGCAGACAGUUGCCAGGACUCAACAUGGAACUCAAACAAGAAACAUUAUAGCACAUGUUCAGAAUCUGUAUGACACAUGAUCUGCAUUCAUUCUCCCUCUGUUGGGUGUAGAUGCACACACACUAACCCUACCUUUAAACAUCUCUGACUUAGAAAGUUGAGAAAAGUGGUAGUUGAGGACAUUCAGUGAACGUGUUAUUUUGAUUUUAGAUGAAGGUUUUGUUUGCCAGUUACAGAUAUUUUAGAGAAGUCCUCAUCAGAUGUUCAUGAUAUGCUGCCAACUAAAGUAGAGCACUUAAGAGCAAGUGGCGCAGCAAUGUCAGUGCAGUUUGUCAUACUCAUAAGUGUGUCAUUAAGAACAUAUCACCAGAAAGAGAGCAAAAUACAUGUUAUGUUAGUGGUACUGCUAUGUUUUCUUCUUAAUCACGGUCCUGUUCAGUGAAAAAGUAAAUGUAAAACCAUUUCCCUCUGUGCGAUAUACUGGUAGCUAGGGUCUUGAAUUAUAUGGGUAAUCAGCCUCAGUGGUCUCAUUCAGUCUGCUGCAUGCUCUACAUGCCACACCUCCCUCAUCAGAGGAUCUCUAAAUAUAGAAUGUGACAUAUUCAGCCCACAACUGUUUGAUUACCCAUAUAUCUCAGAGAGCAGAUGUUUGAGAUGCCAAUCCAUGGAGAGGCCUCACCCCAUUUUUUUUUUCAGUAUGUGCGAUCACCCCUUUAAUGUAGCUCCACAGCUUUAGAUGUGAACUUCAAACAUUAUGAUGAUGUUUCUUCUCUGGCCAAACCUAUAAAACCUGCAGUGAUACCUUUUAAUGCAGUGAUUCAGUAUUUAUCUGCUACUCAGUGUCUGUAAUCAAGAGGUUUUACCAUGACACAAACUGCAGUAGAUGUGACCGGCCAUGAAGAGUAGUGAACCAGUAGUGUGAGUACAGUAGUGAUUUGUGAGAUUUCGCGCAGUACGAAGGAUAAUACCUGAGCUGAAAACACUAGAUAAGAUUUGAAAAAUACCACAUGCAUCAAGUGUUUUCAGCCCAGGUAAUAUCCUUCAUACUGCGCAAAAUCUCACAAAACGGAUCUGGGACACCUUAUCUUUCCAUUGACAAUCUGAUGUCUACAUUUCACUACUAGGGACUUUAAAGGACAUCAAGUCAAUUCAAUUUUCAAUUCACAGUAAAAAUGUUGGAUGUCCUUUAAAGUCCCUUUGUUAUCAUAGUUUUAGGCCCCACCUUGUGGAGAGUAUGCAGAGAAAGUUCAAUUUUUUUAAACAUUUUUUUUCUUAGGGUAAAUUGUGCACUUCCAGGAUAAACGUGUUUAAUCCAAUUACAACAAAGUGUUUCAAUAAAAUCAUGCACAUAUUGUAAAAAGAGAGCUUUGCUGCACUAGUUGCACAGACAGAGCUGUAGCAGUUAUCAUGACGCAAGGGUUUCUUGCAGUACAAAGAAAAGCCAGAGUACAUUACUAUAACAGAGGUACAAAUCAUAGUCGGCAUUAAACAUUUAGUUGCUGUAGGCAUUGAUGUUGGUGCCAAGAGUAAGGGACUAUUUUAAAGCGUUGAUGCAGUAAAAACCUUUCUAUUGUAAUAGUCAGCCGUUGACAGCAUUAAAACAGGGAAAUUACUCUGUUAAGCUUUCCCAUUGCGAUUGCAAAAUGAAAGCCGGGGAGACAUGUGGCUGGUGAAGUUAUAACUGACACUCUGAUGAUCCCCGGUGGCCUCAGAUGUCCUGCUCAAAUGUCCUGAAGAAACACAUCGAACUAAUUCGAGGGGAAAUUGUUUUUCUACUGACUCUGUACACCUUGACCAUAAUAGGAAAGAUAAGAAGUAAACAGCAAACAUAGAUCUACGUCCGCACACUGCCCCAUUGCCGGCAGCAACAAACUGAAAAUAUUCAAGAUAAGAUUAUAAGAAACACAAGCAAACAUGAAUGUCACUGCAGAUACUAUUCAGUCGCCUUUCUUUCGUUCAGUUACUGCAUCUAUUCACUCUCUUCACAGAUGUCAGAUUCCAUGUGACAUGACUUCAGGCAAGUAGAAAUUUAAAUUCUCCAAAUGGAAUCUGAAGGAGUCACUAUUUAAGUUCAGACAGGACACUUUGUCAUUUAACCGUUUAUUUCAAAAUGACAUGCACUUGGUCGUGACUCUGCUCAAGUGAUUUUCUGGAACAAACUGAGCAAGCUCGACACGGACAGUCCUUGAGAUCAUAAACCCCCAAACUUGCACUUUGAAAGGGAGCAGAUGAGUAGUUACCUUGAAAUGAAAUGGAGUUUUGUGAAAUAAACCUAAUUGUACCGACAAAUGUGUCGCAUUUCCUCUGAAUUCAUGCAAGUAGCAUGACCUUUUAUCUGAAUGCAUAGAAUCAUCAACAUGUCGAAUGCAAACGGAUGAAUGUCUGGCAAGUAUAGUGACUUGAUACAAUGGAAAUCAAAUAUGUGAGAUAUGAGACUGACGCAUGAUGCAUUUCCUUUGAAUGCAUGCAACCUUUACAUCUGAUUGCAGGCAAUCAAUGGCAUGCUGAAUGCACACAGCUGAACAUCUGGCAAGGCACUAUUAUAUUGACUUGAUACACGGGAAAUGAAGAUCAGAGCACCUUUAUAAUAAUAUUAAUCAACUUUGAAAGCCUAAGGUCAAUGAAUUACUCAUGCUUAUCUCAAAAGAAGACAGAUAUAGUGACGCCGUGCAAGGAAUAGAUUUUCUCAGUGUGUGAAAUGAACUUCCCAUGACUAAGAAACACCCUAAGCCACAAGGAGGACUGUCAUAAGUGGGUAUCUACAUGUAGACUAAACAUCCAGACUUUAAGUGAGAACUGACCUUGCACCAAAAAGCUUAAUAGUAAGAUGUUUAUUGUUGCCUGCUGGAUGAACUUCUUUGGUCCAUUGAAGACGAGGUAACAAUAUCCUUUCCUAAGAAAUUUAGAACUGCAGGGUCUAAAUGUCUUUAAUAAAACCGGACUUCAGAAAUUAAACAUACAGACUUGACAAGUAUUGAACCAGAUUAUGUUUGGACUCGAUUGGUUUGGUCAAAUGUUGGCAAGACAAGCUGCAGGGAGAAACACUGGAGCACAGACAUGACUGAGGAGCACUCAAUGUUGACUGAUGCUUCAUUGCCUCAAAACACAUUCAUCUUCCUGCAGGAAGGGGAUUAGAUCGUAACAAAGUGGCAGGCAGAAAGCUAGUGGGCAAGGAUAGAACCCCUAGGCCACACAUCUGCAAAACAUUAGUUAUUAAAGAAGAUCCCCAAAACCCGACCAAUGAUUCCAGUGUGUCAUUAUAAAUGAAGCAUCAGAGCUGGAUGCUUCAGAUCUGUGGUUGCUCUCCCACCAACUGGCUUAGUCUCCAUCUGUAGGAUGCUGCUGCUCCAGCCCACUGCUCCCAGCUGCCCAUUUCCACCAAUCUACUCUGCAUUGCCCUUACUAUACUUGAUUUGCUCAUCUACAUAUUUUUGAAUUUACCACCAGCUAUAUAUGUAGUAUAUUUCAUGCCAGAGCCGUACACCACAGCAGUAAACUAUAAUCAGUUUCCAUGUUAGUUGUACUUUGCAUGUAUCUUCUGUCUUAUUGUGCAUGUAUCAAAUUGUGUUUUAUGGUCCUUGUGUCAGGCAUAUGGGUUCUGUAAAGCAUCUUGAGACAAUUUGACUGUAAUUGGCGCUAUAUAA
Long non-coding RNA from Amphiprion ocellaris (clown anemonefish), 4523 nucleotides. RefSeq lists it as uncharacterized. The transcript is spliced from 7 exons. The record is from RefSeq and is a predicted model, not a curated record. Lineage: Eukaryota; Metazoa; Chordata; Actinopteri; Pomacentridae.